CCCGGCACAAGCGGUGGAGCAUGUUGGUUUAAUUCGAUGCAACGCGAAGAACCUUACCUACUCUUGACAUCCAGAGAAUUUGCUAGAGAUAGCUUAGUGCCUUCGGGAACUCUGAGACAGGUGCUGCAUGGCUGUCGUCAGCUCGUGUUGUGAAAUGUUGGGUUAAGUCCCGCAACGAGCGCAACCCUUAUCCUUUGUUGCCAGCGAGUAAUGUCGGGAACUCAAAGGAGACUGCCGGUGAUAAACCGGAGGAAGGUGGGAUGACGUCAAGUCAUCAUGGCCCUUACGAGUAGGGCUACACACGUGCUACAAUGGCAUAUACAAAGAGAAGCGAACUCGCGAGAGCAAGCGGACCUCAUAAAGUAUGUCGUAGUCCGGAUUGGAGUCUGCAACUCGACUCCAUGAAGUCGGAAUCGCUAGUAAUCGUGGAUCAGAAUGUCACGGUGAAUACGUUCCCGGGUCUU
Molecule: ribosomal RNA, 464 nt
Filed under: uncultured Enterobacteriaceae bacterium
Lineage: Bacteria; Pseudomonadati; Pseudomonadota; Gammaproteobacteria; Enterobacterales; Enterobacteriaceae
Description: bacterial SSU rRNA
Rfam family: Bacterial small subunit ribosomal RNA
Source: RNAcentral